This 762-nucleotide ribosomal RNA is filed under the name uncultured Rhizophagus. RNAcentral's name for it is "eukaryotic LSU rRNA". It matches the Rfam family "Eukaryotic large subunit ribosomal RNA", at positions 38 to 648 of the family's 3401-position model. The record is from RNAcentral. Lineage: Eukaryota; Fungi; Glomeromycota; Glomeromycetes; Glomerales; Glomeraceae.
GCAUAUCAAUAAGCGGAGGAAAAGAAAAUAACAAUGAUUCCCCUAGUAACUGCGAGUGAAGAGGGACAAGCUCAAAUUUUAAAUCCGUCGGGUUACACCUGACCGAGUUGUAAUUUUGAAGAGGCGUUUUCCGCGUUUUUGAUCAGUCCAAGUCCUUUGGGAUAGGGCAUCAUGGAGGGUGAGAAUCCCGUUCGGCUGAUCAGAUUCGCUUUACGAUACGUCAUCUAAGAGUCAAGUUGUUUGGGAAUGCAGCUUAAAAUGGGAGGUAAAUUUCUCCUAAGGCUAAAUAACGGCGAGAGACCGAUAGCGAACAAGUACCGUGAGGGAAAGAUGAAAAGAACUUUGAAAAGAGAGUUAAACAGUACGUGAAAUUGUUGAAAGGGAAACGAUUGAAGCCAGUCGUACCGGUGGGUAAUCAGCCUUUCGGCGUGAUUAUGUGGAGCGUGAGGAGUUAAACGCCCUCAUGGCCUGCAUAUUCGUGUUCUUUGGGUGUACUUACCCGCAUGGUAGGUUAACAUCAAUUUCGAACGUCAUAAAAUGGUUGGAGGAAUGUAGCUUCGAUCUCGUAUUGAAGUGUUAUAGACUCCGGCAGAUGUGAUGAUCGGGAUUGAGGAUUGCAACGGAUACCCUUCGGGGCUACCCGUCUGAUCUCUGAAAGUUGCUCUGGUGCCGAAAGCUCGCUUACGGUCAUCAAAGUUGACGUUCAACAGGUUAGAACGGGAUAUUUUCAUGAAGGAUGUUGACGUAAUGGCUUUAAACGAC